AUACGGAGGAUCCAAGCGUUAUCCGGAAUCAUUGGGUUUAAAGGGUCCGGAGGCGGGUUUAUAAGUCAGUGGUGAAAGUUUGCGGCUCAACCGUAAAAUUGCCAUUGAUACUGUAGAUCUUGAAUUAGUGUGCAGUGAUUAGAAUAAGUAGUGUAGCGGUGAAAUGCAUAGGUAUUACUUAGAAUACCAAUUGCGAAGGCAGGUCACUAACACUAUAUUGACGCUGAGGGACGAAAGCGUGGGGAGCGAACAGGAUUAGAAACCCUAGUAGUCC
Molecule: ribosomal RNA, 274 nt
Filed under: uncultured bacterium
Lineage: Bacteria
Description: partial 16S ribosomal RNA
Rfam family: Bacterial small subunit ribosomal RNA
Source: RNAcentral